GAUGAACGCUGGCGGCGUGCCUAAUACAUGCAAGUCGAGCGAACAGACGAGGAGCUUGCUCCUCUGACGUUAGCGGCGGACGGGUGAGUAACACGUGGAUAACCUACCUAUAAGACUGGGAUAACUUCGGGAAACCGGAGCUAAUACCGGAUAAUAUAUUGAACCGCAUGGUUCAAUAGUGAAAGACGGUUUUGCUGUCACUUAUAGGUGGAUCCGCGCCGCAUUAGCUAGUUGGUAAGGUAACGGCUUACCAAGGCAACGAUGCGUAGCCGACCUGAGAGGGUGAUCGGCCACACUGGAACUGAGACGCGGUCCAGACUCCUACGGGAGGGAGCAGUAGGGAAUCUUCCGCAAUGGGCGAAAGCCUGACGGAGCAACGCCGCGUGAGUGAUGAAAGUCUUCGGAUCGUAAAACUCUGUUAUUAGGGAAGAACAAAUGUGUAAGUAACUAUGCACGUCUUGACGGUACCUAAUCAGAAAGCCACGGCUAACUACGUG
RNAcentral lists this ribosomal RNA (497 nucleotides) under uncultured bacterium. RNAcentral's name for it is "partial 16S ribosomal RNA". It matches the Rfam family "Bacterial small subunit ribosomal RNA", at positions 28 to 507 of the family's 1533-position model. The record is from RNAcentral.